GGGGGGGCAAGCGUUUGUUCGGAAUUACUGGGCGUAAAGGGCGCGCAGGCGGCCCGGCAAGUCCUACGUGAAAUCCCACAGCUCAACUGUGGAACUGCGUGGGAUACUGCCAGGCUUGAGUCCGGGAGAGGAGAGUGGAAUUCCCAGUGUAGCGGUGAAAUGCGUAGAUAUUGGGAGGAACACCGGUGGCGAAGGCGGCUCUCUGGACCGGUACUGACGCUGAGGCGCGAAAGCUAGGGGAGCAAACGGGAUUAGAUACCCCGGUAGUCCUAGCCGUAAACUUUGAGCACUUGGUGUGGCGGGUAUCGACCCCCUGCCGUGCCGAAGCUAACGCAUUAAGUGCUCCGCCUGGGGAGUACGGUCGCAAGGCUG
This 372-nucleotide ribosomal RNA is filed under the name uncultured organism. Its description in RNAcentral is "partial 16S ribosomal RNA". It matches the Rfam family "Bacterial small subunit ribosomal RNA", at positions 528 to 896 of the family's 1533-position model. The record is from RNAcentral.